CAACAGGUAACACAUCGUCUUGUAAGUCAUGUAAGAUAGGAUUUAUCCAGCUCAGCUUGGGAUCCGUUUGCAUUAUGGCAAACUCUUCAAUGCUUAGUUUCUCAAGAGGUUCAAGAUGGGAACUUCUUUUUAGGUCGACCGCACCUACAGUCGCCAAUUGUGAAAAUAGGUCGGCCUGCAUGUUCUCCGCCCUCAAUAUUUGUUGGAUAUUCAUAGUAGCGAAGCUGGAGGCG
RNAcentral lists this long non-coding RNA (233 nucleotides) under Elaeis guineensis (African oil palm). Its description in RNAcentral is "long non-coding RNA (EGUI_LNC006343)". The record is from RNAcentral. Lineage: Eukaryota; Viridiplantae; Streptophyta; Magnoliopsida; Arecales; Arecaceae.